CAGGCCUAACACAUGCAAGUCGAGCGAACAGAUAAGGAGCUUGCUCCUUUGAAGUUAGCGGCGGACGGGUGAGUAACACGUGGGUAACCUACCUAUAAGACUGGGAUAACUUCGGGAAACCAGAGCUAAUACCGGAUAACAUUUAGAACCGCAUGGUUCUAAAGUGAAAGAUGGUUUUGCUAUCACUUAUAGAUGGACCCGCGCCGUAUUAGCUAGUUGGUAAGGUAACGGCUUACCAAGGCGACGAUACGUAGCCGACCUGAGAGGGUGAUCGGCCACACUGGAACUGAGACACGGUCCAGACUCCUACGGGAGGCAGCAGUAGGGAAUCUUCCGCAAUGGGCGAAAGCCUGACGGAGCAACGCCGCGUGAGUGAUGAAGGGUUUCGGCUCGUAAAACUCUGUUAUUAGGGAAGAACAAAUGUGUAAGUAACUGUGCACAUCUUGACGGUACCUAAUCAGAAAGCCACGGCUAACUACGUGCCAGCAGCCGCGGUAAU
RNAcentral lists this ribosomal RNA (499 nucleotides) under uncultured bacterium. RNAcentral's name for it is "bacterial SSU rRNA". It matches the Rfam family "Bacterial small subunit ribosomal RNA", at positions 43 to 524 of the family's 1533-position model. The record is from RNAcentral.